UACGUAGGCAGCAAGCGUUGUUCGGAAUUACUGGGCGUAAAGGGCUCGUAGGCGGCCAACUAAGUCAGACGUGAAAUCCCUCGGCUUAACCGGGGAACUGCGUCUGAUACUGGAUGGCUUGAGAUUGGGAGAGGGAUGCGGAAUUCCAGGUGUAGCGGUGAAAUGCGUAGAUAUCUGGAGGAACACCGGUGGCGAAGGCGGCAUCCUGGACCAACACUGACGCUGAGGAGCGAAAGCCAGGGGAGCAAACGGG
RNAcentral lists this ribosomal RNA (253 nucleotides) under uncultured bacterium. RNAcentral describes it as "partial 16S ribosomal RNA". It matches the Rfam family "Bacterial small subunit ribosomal RNA", at positions 524 to 776 of the family's 1533-position model. The record is from RNAcentral.